Molecule: ribosomal RNA, 402 nt
Filed under: uncultured bacterium
Lineage: Bacteria
Description: partial 16S ribosomal RNA
Rfam family: Bacterial small subunit ribosomal RNA
Source: RNAcentral
UGGGGAAUAUUGCACAAUGGGCGCAAGCCUGAUGCAGCCAUGCCGCAUGAGUGAAGAAGGCCUUUGGGUUGUAAAGCUCUUUUAGUGAGGAAGAUAAUGACGGUACUCACAGAAGAAGUCCUGGCUAACUCCGUGCCAGCAGCCGCGGUAAUACGGAGAGGGCUAGCGUUAUUCGGAAUUAUUGGGCGUAAAGGGCGCGUAGGCUGGUUAAUAAGUUAAAAGUGAAAUCCCGAGGCUUAACCUUGGAAUUGCUUUUAAAACUAUUAAUCUAGAGAUUGAAAGAGGAUAGAGGAAUUCCUGAUGUAGAGGUAAAAUUCGUAAAUAUUAGGAGGAACACCGGUGGCGAAGGCGUCUAUCUGGUUCAAAUCUGACGCUGAAGCGCGAAGGCGUGGGGAGCAAACA